This 468-nucleotide ribosomal RNA is filed under the name uncultured bacterium. Its description in RNAcentral is "partial 16S ribosomal RNA". It matches the Rfam family "Bacterial small subunit ribosomal RNA", at positions 28 to 507 of the family's 1533-position model. The record is from RNAcentral.
GACGAACGCUGGCGGCGUGCUUAACACAUGCAAGUCGAACGGAAAGGCCCUGCUUUUGUGUGGUGCUCGAGUGGCGCACGGGUGAGUAACACGUGAGUCACCUUCCCUUUACUUUGGGAUAACUUCAGGAAACUGGGGCUAAUACCGGAUAGGUGCUCCUGCUGCAUGGUGGGGGUUGGAAAGUUUCGGCGGUUGGGGAUGGACUCGGGGCUUAUGAGCUUGUUGGUGGGGUAGUGGCUUACCAAGGCUUUGACGGGUAGCCGGCCUGAGAGGGUGACCGGCCACAUUGGGACUGAGAUACGGACCAGACUCCUACGGGAGGCAGCAGUGGGGAAUAUUGCACAAUGGGCGGAAGCCUGAUGCAGCAACGCCGCGUGCGGGAUGACGGCCUUCGGGUUGUAAACCGCUUUCGCCUGUGACGAAGCGUGAGUGACGGUAAUGGGUAAAGAAGCACCGGCUAACUACGUG